Pongo abelii (Sumatran orangutan) is the source of this 148-nucleotide unclassified non-coding RNA. It matches the Rfam family "Metazoan signal recognition particle RNA". From Rfam's summary of the family: The signal recognition particle (SRP) is a universally conserved ribonucleoprotein. It is involved in the co-translational targeting of proteins to membranes. The record is from Ensembl. NCBI's taxonomy places the organism in Eukaryota, Metazoa, Chordata, Mammalia, Primates, Hominidae.
GCUGGGCGUGGUGGUGCACGCCUGUAAUCCCAGCUACCGGGGAGUCUGAGGCGGGAGAAUUGCUUGAACCCAGGAAGUGGAGGUCGUAGUGAGCAGAGACUGCACCACUGCACUCCAGCCUGGGUGACAGAGCAAGACUCCGUCUCAA